AGAGUUUGAUCAUGGCUCAGGAUGAACGCUAGCUACAGGCUUAACACAUGCAAGUCGAGGGGAAACGAUAUUGGAAGCUUGCUUCCGAUAGGCGUCGACCGGCGCACGGGUGAGUAACGCGUAUCCAACCUGCCCACCACUUGGGGAUAACCUUGCGAAAGUAAGACUAAUACCCAAUGACGUCUCUAGAAGACAUCUGAAGGAGAUUAAAGAUUUAUCGGUGAUGGAUGGGGAUGCGUCUGAUUAGCUUGGUUGGCGGGGUAACGGCCACCAAGGCACGAUCAGUAGGGGUUCUGAGAGGAAGGUCCCCCANAUUGGAACUGAGACACGGUCCAAACUCCUACGGGAGCA
RNAcentral lists this ribosomal RNA (351 nucleotides) under uncultured bacterium. Its description in RNAcentral is "bacterial SSU rRNA". It matches the Rfam family "Bacterial small subunit ribosomal RNA", at positions 8 to 349 of the family's 1533-position model. The record is from RNAcentral.